RNAcentral lists this ribosomal RNA (389 nucleotides) under Syndiniales sp. RNAcentral's name for it is "partial small subunit ribosomal RNA". It matches the Rfam family "Eukaryotic small subunit ribosomal RNA", at positions 582 to 975 of the family's 1831-position model. The record is from RNAcentral. Lineage: Eukaryota; Dinophyceae; Syndiniales.
AUUCCAGCUCCAAUAGCGUAUAUUAAAGUUGUUGCGGUUAAAAAGCUCGUAGUUGGAGUUCUGCCAGGUGACACUCGUCCGCCCAAGUGGUGUGUACAGGGUGUGCAUCUGGCCCUUUCAAGGGGAACGUGUCUGCUCUUUAUUGAGUGGUGCGAGAUCCUUGACUUUUACUUUGAGGAAAUAAGAGUGUUCCAAGCAGGCUCUCGUCGUGCAUAGCUCAGCAUGGAAUAAUAGCAUUGGACUUCGUUUCUAAGCUGUUGGUUGCGAGAAGCGAGGUAAUGAUGAAGAGGGAUAGUUGGGGGCAUUCGUAUUUAACUGUCAGAGGUGAAAUUCUUGGAUUUGUUAAAGACGGACGACUGCGAAAGCAUUUACCAAGGAUGUUUUCAUUG